UCGUGGUGUGAAUUGUCCGCUUAAUUGCCUAAACGAGCGAGACCUUAGCCUGCUAACUAGAUGUGCUGAUCCCAGAUUGGUACCAUCUUCUUAGAGGGACGGAGUAUUAAAAGUACUCGGAAGUUUGAGGCCAAAACA
Molecule: ribosomal RNA, 138 nt
Filed under: uncultured eukaryote
Lineage: Eukaryota
Description: partial 18S ribosomal RNA
Rfam family: Eukaryotic small subunit ribosomal RNA
Source: RNAcentral